Molecule: ribosomal RNA, 274 nt
Filed under: uncultured bacterium
Lineage: Bacteria
Description: partial 16S ribosomal RNA
Rfam family: Bacterial small subunit ribosomal RNA
Source: RNAcentral
AUACGGAGGGUGCAAACGUUGCUCGGAAUCAUUGGGCGUAAAGCGCACGUAGGCGGUUCGGUAAGUCGGAUGUGAAAGCCCUAGGCUUAACCAAGGAAGUGCAUUCGAAACUGCCAAACUUGAGUAUGGGAGAGGGUUGCGGAAUUCUCGGUGAAGAGGUGAAAUUCGUAGAUAUCGGGAGGAACACCAGUGGCGAAGGCGGCAACCUGGACCAAUACUGACGCUGAGGUGCGAAAGCGUGGGGAGCAAACAGGAUUAGAUACCCCUGUAGUCC